RNAcentral lists this ribosomal RNA (393 nucleotides) under bacterium enrichment culture. Its description in RNAcentral is "bacterial SSU rRNA". It matches the Rfam family "Bacterial small subunit ribosomal RNA", at positions 521 to 916 of the family's 1533-position model. The record is from RNAcentral.
UAAUACGGAGGAUCCGAGCGUUAUCCGGAUUUAUUGGGUUUAAAGGGUGCGUAGGUGGUUUGAUAAGUCAGCGGUGAAAGUUUGCAGCUUAACUGUAAAAAUGCCGUUGAAACUGUCGGACUUGAGUGUAAAUGAGGUAGGCGGAAUGCGUGGUGUAGCGGUGAAAUGCAUAGAUAUCACGCAGAACUCCGAUUGCGAAGGCAGCUUACUAAGCUACAACUGACACUGAAGCACGAAAGCGUGGGGAUCAAACAGGAUUAGAUACCCUGGUAGUCCACGCAGUAAACGAUGAUUACUAGCUGUUUGCGAUACACAGUAAGCGGCACAGCGAAAGCGUUAAGUAAUCCACCUGGGGAGUACGCCGGCAACGGUGAAACUCAAAUGAAUUGACGG